Mandrillus leucophaeus (drill) is the source of this 822-nucleotide long non-coding RNA. RefSeq lists it as uncharacterized. The record is from RefSeq and is a predicted model, not a curated record. NCBI's taxonomy places the organism in Eukaryota, Metazoa, Chordata, Mammalia, Primates, Cercopithecidae. The transcript has 3 exons.
GAUCCUGAGGAGCCAGUCGCGGGCUGGCGCGGGCGCAGGGCUGGCUGGCGGUUGAGACCGCGGCGGUACUGGGAGGGGUAGGUGAGGGUCGCGAGGCUGCCUGAGCUUCUGAGUGAGCAUGGCGCUUUUGGAACGUGGGACUGGCGACCUGCUGCGCCAGGAGCUGGGCCGAGGCGCGGAGGCGCGGCUGCCGGCUGCUCUCUGGAUGGGAAGUUACCACGAAGUCCACCCAGCGUUUCCGAGGCAAUCUGAAGGCAAAUUCUGUUUCGAGCCAGGCGAAGGUUCCUGGUGAUCCAGGCUCUCACCAGCCGAUUGUCCCUUCCUGUCUUCCUGAGGGUGUCUGGAGCUUCAGUGUUGUGUGCUCUUGGCCUCCACGCUGGGGUGCCACCGACUCCCACUGUCCAGGGCUUCCGGUGGACUCUCCGAGGCACUGAUGCAGAAACUUCCCCAUUCGGUGCACCAAGAGGAGCCUCACACGGUGUGGGCCGAUAUGAGGAGCUGCCAGAUCCAACAGGUCCUGGCGGAGUGGGAGCCAGUGCAAGGAGAGAAGUCCAGUGAGAAAGGCAAAUGGAUGACAUCAGACCCAGGGGCUGAGGCCACUAACUGCAGCCAGGUAACUUCUGGAGUGGACAAGGAUCGGUAGGGACGGUCGUUGCCUGGUGUUCUGGGGUCCACUAUCUCCUCUCAUUCUUGUGGGCAGAACUUAUCCAAAGAUAAGACUCAGUGCCUCUGGCAAUAGUGGGCGAGAGAAUGUGUUUCAGAGGAGGAGGAAGGGGUUGUACCCCAUGGACAGUAUAUGGUUUUACAGUAGUGUGUCUUUCU